AGGAGGCACCUGAUCAGCAUGCCGCGUGUGUGAAGAAGGCCUUCGGGUUGUAAAGCACUUUUGUCCGGAAAGAAAUCGCACUUACUAAUAUUAGGUGUGGAUGACGGUACCGGAAGAAUAAGGACCGGCUAACUACGUGCCAGCAGCCGCGGUAAUACGUAGGGUCCAAGCGUUAAUCGGAAUUACUGGGCGUAAAGCGUGCGCAGGCGGUUGUGCAAGACCGAUGUGAAAUCCCCGGGCUUAACCUGGGAAUUGCAUUGGUGACUGCACGGCUAGAGUGUGUCAAAGGGGGGUAGAAUUCCACGUGUAGCAGUGAAAUGCGUAAAGAUGUGGAGGAAUACCGAUGGCGAAGGCAGCCCCCUGGGAUAACACUGACGCUCAUGCACGAAAGCGUGGGGAGCAAACAGGAUUAGAUACCCUGGUAGUCCACGCCCUAAACGAUGUCAACUAGUUGUUGGGGAUUCAUUUCCUUAGUAACGUAGCUAACGCGUGAAGUUGACCGCCUGGGGAGUACGGUCGCAAGAUUAAAACUCAAGAAUUUUGACGGAGCCCCUGCCCAAAAUA
RNAcentral lists this ribosomal RNA (564 nucleotides) under uncultured bacterium. RNAcentral's name for it is "bacterial SSU rRNA". It matches the Rfam family "Bacterial small subunit ribosomal RNA", at positions 373 to 932 of the family's 1533-position model. The record is from RNAcentral.